CACGUAGGGCGCAAGCGUUGUCCGGAAUUAUUGGGCGUAAAGAGCUCGUAGGCGGUCUGUUGCGUCCGCUGUGAAAACUCGGGGCUUAACCCCGAGCCUGCAGUGGAUACGGGCAGACUAGAGGUAGGUAGGGGAGAAUGGAAUUCCCGGUGUAGCGGUGAAAUGCGCAGAUAUCUGGAGGAACACCGGUGGCGAAGGCGGUUCUCUGGGCCUUACCUGACGCUGAGGAGCGAAAGCGUGGGGAGCGAACAGG
RNAcentral lists this ribosomal RNA (253 nucleotides) under uncultured bacterium. RNAcentral describes it as "partial 16S ribosomal RNA". It matches the Rfam family "Bacterial small subunit ribosomal RNA", at positions 524 to 776 of the family's 1533-position model. The record is from RNAcentral.